UGCAAGUCGAGCGGAUGAAGGGAGCUUGCUCCCUGAUUCAGCGGCGGACGGGUGAGUAAUGCCUAGGAAUCUGCCUGGUAGUGGGGGACAACGUUUCGAAAGGAACGCUAAUACCGCAUACGUCCUACGGGAGAAAGCAGGGGACCUUCGGGCCUUGCGCUAUCAGAUGAGCCUAGGUCGGAUUAGCUAGUUGGUGAGGUAAUGGCUCACCAAGGCGACGAUCCGUAACUGGUCUGAGAGGAUGAUCAGUCACACUGGAACUGAGACACGGUCCAGACUCCUACGGGAGGCAGCAGUGGGGAAUAUUGGACAAUGGGCGAAAGCCUGAUCCAGCCAUGCCGCGUGUGUGAAGAAGGUCUUCGGAUUGUAAAGCACUUUAAGUUGGGAGGAAGGGUUGUAGAUUAAUACUCUGCAAUUUUGACGUUACCGACAGAAUAAGCACCGGCUAACUCUGUGCCAGCAGCCGCGGUAAUACAGAGGGUGCAAGCGUUAAUCGGAAUUACUGGGCGUAAAGCGCGCGUAGGUGGUUUGUUAAGUCGGAUGUGAAAUCCCCG
RNAcentral lists this ribosomal RNA (554 nucleotides) under Pseudomonas sp. M47copa9. RNAcentral describes it as "bacterial SSU rRNA". It matches the Rfam family "Bacterial small subunit ribosomal RNA", at positions 56 to 605 of the family's 1533-position model. Lineage: Bacteria; Pseudomonadati; Pseudomonadota; Gammaproteobacteria; Pseudomonadales; Pseudomonadaceae. The record is from RNAcentral.